GUAGAAGCCACAUUAUUGCUCUUCUGUCAGAAGUGGGUGUCAGCGAUAUCAGAGUUUGCACAGAAUCCCGGACAUUGUCCUGUGAAUCAUCCACCUCAGAGCUGGAAGCAGGUUUCUUUCAUAAAAUUUUGAACUCAAAUCCAUUUACAUAACGGAGUGAAGUGAAAUGCAUAUGGAAGAUUAUAAAAUGGCAAGAAGUAAUAGAAGGCCUGGAAAGAGGAGUCGUCUCCAUCAUGCAGCUGGGCCCAAUUAAUCAGAGUCCUUAAAAGUGGAGAACCUCUGCCAACCGCCAUCAGAGGGCGGUAUGACUAAGGAAGGUUGGGGAGGUGCAGUGUUGCUGCCUUUCAAGAUGGAGGACGGUGGCGUGCCAAGGAGUGUGGUGGGCCUCAGGAGCUGGAGAAGGUCCAAGGAGGCUACAAUGGGAACACAUAGAAAGGCACAUCCCCACAGAUUCUGGAGAUUAAGAAAGCGUUCCCAACUGAUGCAUGGACAGAGAUCUGUGAGGUGCAGUGAGCUUGCUCCAACAAUGAGGGCGUAUUUACAGACGGCUUGAGGAUCCUUGGAGAGAGGCGUGCAAGCACCCAGGGGCAAGAGUACUUCCAACCCCUUUCUUCUGGCUGACUCACAUGGCAACAUGGAAUUAUCCUUCGCAUAGAAAGCAAGACUCCUGGAUAUCAGAGUGGGGCCCUCAACACAAUUUGCUGCCCUUAGAAAGUAUAAUUCUUCUGUAUUCCAUACACAUGUGCCCUGUUGAAGUAUAAUUACUUCCCUCUUUUCCAUUUCCCGAGAAGGAAGGGUGUGUUAAUAGUCAGGAGCAGGGAGACAACAUCAUCAUCAAAUCACUAAAGGGAAGAAUUCACCAGUGAUCGAAAAUGAAACAAAGGGAAAGUGAAUAUUGAUGAUCUCAACUUACAAAAACAAUGGACAGAAAAUGGUACUGCCUUUGUUCUACUAUAAUAUUUUUUCUAGGCAUUGUUUUGCUUUCACAUGUUUCCUGAUAGUUUAGGCCUUUGGGAAAGUGACUAGAGGUUUUGAGGUAGAAACGAUGAAUGUGCAGAGACCCACCCACAGUCUCUCUCUCGUUCCUUGUAGGAGCCAGGAAGGAGGCACGGAGGAGGUGACUGUUAGAAAUGAGGUUACACUCUGUGGCCAUGGGAUUGUACCGAGCCAGCAGGUCCACUGAAGGGUCAAACCAACAGAGCUGACCUCUGCUCCACGCUUUAACCAACAGCGUCAAAUCCUGACCAGCUAGCUGGGCUGGGCUGAACCACACUUUGAUGUGACCUGAGCUGACCCCCAACCCCCACAAUCCAAACACAUGAUUCCUCAGAAAGCAUCCUGAAUUGACCAAAUGGAACCUUCUAACUUAGAAAUGGCCAGUGGCCUGGAGGCAGCCGAGUCAGAAUUGCUUCAACCUUGACCACAGCUGUGAGUCAGUGGGUAAAACUGAGUCUUCAACAACCGUCCUUCUGGUACUAACUUGGGAAUUCAGCAAGAUCCAGAGGGGGAUGGCAUUUUAUUGAGUGCAAGAAGCCAGGUUCAAGUUUUCAAAAAACCCAUUGUUACCCUACAGAUUUUACUUAGCGAGGAAACAUAUAUGUAAAUUCCUGUGUAUACGUGUGUAUUACUGACCCAGAAAUUAUCAUUAGAAGAUUGGGAAACUUGUUUUUUUAGUCACAAUGGCCUCUGAUGGAGAGUCUUCAAGCACUUUUCCCCACAGCUGACUGAAGCCAGAAUAUGUGAACACAUACUUCCAAAGGAUCUGUUUCCCCAUUGUAACUGUUACCAUCUUGGGAUCAUGUCUAAAUAGUACCUGACUUGGAUGAAAAGCAG
This is a long non-coding RNA of Ailuropoda melanoleuca (giant panda), 1833 nucleotides long. RefSeq lists it as uncharacterized. The transcript has 6 exons. NCBI's taxonomy places the organism in Eukaryota, Metazoa, Chordata, Mammalia, Carnivora, Ursidae. The record is from RefSeq and is a predicted model, not a curated record.